Streptomyces sp. AcH 505 is the source of this 74-nucleotide non-coding RNA. Lineage: Bacteria; Bacillati; Actinomycetota; Actinomycetes; Kitasatosporales; Streptomycetaceae. The record is from Rfam.
GCCGGUCCUCGGUAGUGGCUCCCGGAAAGGCGCGGCACACACCGCAGCCCCGGGUGCUUCGAUCGAAGACCGGC